GUAGGUAUAGUUUAAUUUAAGACACUAGAUUGUGGUUCUAGAGAUGGGAGUUAAAAUCCCCCUACCCACCG
Molecule: transfer RNA, 71 nt
Filed under: Moxostoma austrinum (Mexican redhorse)
Lineage: Eukaryota; Metazoa; Chordata; Actinopteri; Cypriniformes; Catostomidae
Description: tRNA-His
Rfam family: tRNA
About the family: Transfer RNA (tRNA) molecules are approximately 80 nucleotides in length. Their secondary structure includes four short double-helical elements and three loops (D, anti-codon, and T loops). Further hydrogen bonds mediate the characteristic L-shaped molecular structure. tRNAs have two regions of fundamental functional importance: the anti-codon, which is responsible for specific mRNA codon recognition, and the 3' end, to which the tRNAs corresponding amino acid is attached (by aminoacyl-tRNA synthetases). tRNAs cope with the degeneracy of the genetic code in two manners: having more than one tRNA (with a specific anti-codon) for a particular amino acid; and 'wobble' base-pairing, i.e. permitting non-standard base-pairing at the 3rd anti-codon position.
Source: RNAcentral